This 571-nucleotide ribosomal RNA is filed under the name Trichoderma atroviride. RNAcentral describes it as "eukaryotic LSU rRNA". The stretch from base 228 to 381 matches the Rfam family "5.8S ribosomal RNA". The record is from RNAcentral. Lineage: Eukaryota; Fungi; Ascomycota; Sordariomycetes; Hypocreales; Hypocreaceae.
CGUAACAAGGUCUCCGUUGGUGAACCAGCGGAGGGAUCAUUACCGAGUUUACAACUCCCAAACCCAAUGUGAACCAUACCAAACUGUUGCCUCGGCGGGGUCACGCCCCGGGUGCGUCGCAGCCCCGGAACCAGGCGCCCGCCGGAGGGACCAACCAAACUCUUUUCUGUAGUCCCCUCGCGGACGUUAUUUCUUACAGCUCUGAGCAAAAAUUCAAAAUGAAUCAAAACUUUCAACAACGGAUCUCUUGGUUCUGGCAUCGAUGAAGAACGCAGCGAAAUGCGAUAAGUAAUGUGAAUUGCAGAAUUCAGUGAAUCAUCGAAUCUUUGAACGCACAUUGCGCCCGCCAGUAUUCUGGCGGGCAUGCCUGUCCGAGCGUCAUUUCAACCCUCGAACCCCUCCGGGGGGUCGGCGUUGGGGACCUCGGGAGCCCCUAAGACGGGAUCCCGGCCCCGAAAUACAGUGGCGGUCUCGCCGCAGCCUCUCCUGCGCAGUAGUUUGCACAACUCGCACCGGGAGCGCGGCGCGUCCACGUCCGUAAAACACCCAACUUCUGAAAUGUUGACCUCGG